UUUCCGUAGGCGAACCUGCGGAAGGAUCAUUAAUAAUUUUUUUGAAAUAAAAAAAAAUAAUAAUCAUCCUACCCUUGUGAAUUGUUUUGUUGAAUAAUUUUUUAAAAUAUUAUGUCAUCCAGUUGAAAGUUGUAAAGACUCGAAGACUUGGAGCGGCAUAAAUAAUUUAAGACUUUUUCUAAAAUAAACUUUUUGUAUUCAUUUGUCCAAAAUAUUUUAUAAUAUAUAAAAAACUUUGACAAUGGAUCUCUUGGUUCCGCAACGAUGAGAACGCAGCAAAAUGCGAUAAGUAAUGUGAAUUGCAGAAUACGUGAUCACGAAUCUUCGAACGCAUAUUGCACUUUUUUAGUUUACAAAAAAGUAUGUCUGUUUGAGUAUCAGUAAAUAUCUCAUAAAAUUUUUAAUUUUAUGGUUAUGAGUGUUUACAACGAUAACAAGUUGUUUCACUUAAAUUGAAUUUUUUUGAAGAAAUUCUUUAAUUCAAAUUAAUUUGGAUAAAAUUUCCCGUAAAAAGGAUAACUAUACAAGUUUAAUAAGAAUUUAGUGAUUUCUUUAUGAAAGGAAAUUUAUUAAAUAACUUGAUCUCAAUCAGAUAAGUACCGCUGAACUUUAGCAUAUCAAAGCGGAGAAAGAAACUAACAAGGAUCCCUAGUAACGGCGAGCGAGCGGGAAGAGCUCAAAUUGAAAUCUUAAAGGUUCCCUUUACGAAUUGUAGUUUAAAGAAGUGUUUUCUGUUGAGGUUUUGGUAAAAGUUCUUUGGAUAGGACAUCAUAGAGGUGAGAAUCCCGUAUUGACCUUUACUUCAACUUGUGAUACACUUUCAAAGAGUCGGUUGUUUGGAAUGCAGUCCAAAAUGGUGGUAAAUUUCAUCUAAAGCUAAAUAUUGGCGAGAGACCGAUAGCGAACAAGUACCGUGAGGGAAAGAUGAAAGAACUUGAAAAGAGAGUAAACAGUACGUGAAUUGUCAAAGGAAGCGUUUGACACCAGUGUGUUUUCUGAAAUCAUUAAAGAACUGUUUAUGCUAAGUGUUUAGACUUUAUCAGCUAACUGUUUAGUUUUGAGCUUUUCUUUAAUGCACUUUUCAGUUAACAAGUCACAUCAUUUCUUUGCUGUAAAAAGCUGAGGAAGUGGCUUGAGAUUCGUCUAAGUGUUUAUAGCCUCUGCCUAUGCAGUCGAGAGAUUGAGGUCUGCAGCGUAGACCUUCGGGCUAAAUGCAUUGUGCUAAGUACAGCACUUUAAGACAACUUGUUGACUAUGAUUGUCUUGUAGCUACUCGCUAUGUAUUUACCUACGCUUAGGAUGUUG
Molecule: unclassified non-coding RNA, 1305 nt
Filed under: uncultured Neocallimastigales
Lineage: Eukaryota; Fungi; Neocallimastigomycota; Neocallimastigomycetes; Neocallimastigales
Description: partial contains small subunit ribosomal RNA, internal transcribed spacer 1, 5.8S ribosomal RNA, internal transcribed spacer 2, and large subunit ribosomal RNA
Rfam family: Eukaryotic large subunit ribosomal RNA (bases 580-1305)
Source: RNAcentral